CAUGCAAGUCGAGCGCCCCGCAAGGGGAGCGGCAGACGGGUGAGUAACGCGUGGGAAUCUACCCAUCUCUACGGAACAACUCCGGGAAACUGGAGCUAAUACCGUAUACGUCCUUUUGGAGAAAGAUUUAUCGGAGAUGGAUGAGCCCGCGUUGGAUUAGCUAGUUGGUGGGGUAACGGCCUACCAAGGCGACGAUCCAUAGCUGGUCUGAGAGGAUGAUCAGCCACACUGGGACUGAGACACGGCCCAGACUCCUACGGGAGGCAGCAGUGGGGAAUAUUGGACAAUGGGCGCAAGCCUGAUCCAGCCAUGCCGCGUGAGUGAUGACGGCCCUAGGGUUGUAAAGCUCUUUCGGCGGGGACGAUAGUGACGGUACCCGCAGAAGAAGCCCCGGCUAACUUCGUGCCAGCAGCCGCGGUAAUACGAAGGGGGCUAGCGUUGUUCGGAAUCACUGGGCGUAAAGGGCGCGUAGGCGGCCGUUCAAGUCGGGGGUGAAAGCCUGUGGCUCAACCACAGAAUUGCCUUCGAUACUGGAUGGCUCGAGACCGGAAGAGGUAAGUGGAACUGCGAGUGUAGAGGUGAAAUUCGUAGAUAUUCGCAAGAACACCAGUGGCGAAAGCGGCUUACUGGUCCGGUUCUGACGCUGA
RNAcentral lists this ribosomal RNA (647 nucleotides) under uncultured bacterium. Its description in RNAcentral is "bacterial SSU rRNA". It matches the Rfam family "Bacterial small subunit ribosomal RNA", at positions 54 to 749 of the family's 1533-position model. The record is from RNAcentral.